This 396-nucleotide RNase P RNA is filed under the name Neobacillus cucumis. Its description in RNAcentral is "RNase P RNA component class B". It matches the Rfam family "Bacterial RNase P class B". Rfam says of the family: Ribonuclease P (RNase P) is a ubiquitous endoribonuclease, found in archaea, bacteria and eukarya as well as chloroplasts and mitochondria. The record is from RNAcentral. Lineage: Bacteria; Bacillati; Bacillota; Bacilli; Caryophanales; Bacillaceae.
ACGUUCGGGUAAUCGCUACAAUCGCUUUGGCGAAUUGUAGAGGAAAGUCCAUGCUCGCACGAGCUGCGAUGCUCGUAGUGUUCGUGCCUAGCGAAUUCAUAAGCUAGGGCAGCUGGGUUAUCCAGCUGACGGCCGGGAAAAUACCUAAGUCCUAUGGGAUAUGGUAUGAAUACCUAUAAAAGUGCCACAGUGACGGAGCCUUUCUAGAAAUGGAAAGGGUGGAACGCGGUAAACCCCACGAGCGAGAAACCCAAAUUAUGGUAGGGGCACUUUCUCUGAGGAAUUGAACAAGGAGAAGGACAGAGUCAUUGAGAUUCUGUAGAUAGAUGAUUACCACCUAAGUACGAGAUGUUAAAAUCGAUUGUAGUACUAUGGUACAGAACAUGGCUUACAGAA